RNAcentral lists this ribosomal RNA (253 nucleotides) under uncultured bacterium. RNAcentral's name for it is "partial 16S ribosomal RNA". It matches the Rfam family "Bacterial small subunit ribosomal RNA", at positions 524 to 776 of the family's 1533-position model. The record is from RNAcentral.
UACGGAGGGUGCAAGCGUUACCCGGAAUCACUGGGCGUAAAGGGCGCGUAGGCGGACGUUUAAGUCAGAGGUGAAAGCCCAGGGCUCAACCCUGGAAUUGCCUUUGAUACUGGACGUCUUGAGACCGGAAGAGGUGAGUGGAACUGCGAGUGUAGAGGUGAAAUUCGUAGAUAUUCGCAAGAACACCAGUGGCGAAGGCGGCUCACUGUUCCGGUUCUGACGCUGAGGCGCGAAAGCGUGGGGAGCAAACAGG